CCUACGGGAGGCAGCAGUCGGGAAUAUUGCGCAAUGGAGGAAACUCUGACGCAGUGACGCCGCGUGCAGGAAGAAGGUUUUCGGAUUGUAAACUGCUUUAGACAGGGACGAAACAAAUGACGGUACCUGUAGAAUAAGCUCCGGCUAACUACGUGCCAGCAGCCGCGGUAAUA
RNAcentral lists this ribosomal RNA (173 nucleotides) under uncultured rumen bacterium. Its description in RNAcentral is "partial 16S ribosomal RNA". It matches the Rfam family "Bacterial small subunit ribosomal RNA", at positions 338 to 525 of the family's 1533-position model. The record is from RNAcentral.